This 1257-nucleotide unclassified non-coding RNA is filed under the name Hevea brasiliensis (rubber tree). Lineage: Eukaryota; Viridiplantae; Streptophyta; Magnoliopsida; Malpighiales; Euphorbiaceae. The record is from RNAcentral.
AUGGGGAAUGCAAGGUAGUGAAAACGAGAACAAGAGUGAAUCCAUUUUUAAUUUCUAACAUGUCAAUUGGUUUGUUUAUUAAACACAUGGUCAGAGAAGAAUGUUGAUAUCCAUUUGUCCGUCAAAUAUAGUACAUAACUACAUAUGUGAAACCAAAAUAAUGUUAGGAAAAAAAAUCCUUAUGGUUGAGUGCUGAGCAUUUGGUUGUGUGAAAAGAACAAUGCUAUUACUUGAAAUUCAUUUUAUAUGCAAGUUGGAGACUGCAUUUAAGGAUUUAUCCUGUAAUCUAGGCCUUGUGCACAAGAAUAAAUGACACAUUCAGUCGCCAUUGCCCAUUAAUUCAUCAAAUGGUCUUCAAUCCCAGAAACAAUAGUAUGUAUGCGAUUGCAAACAUUACAACUCAUUACUUUCCAAAAUGCUAAGAACCCUAAUCUUCCCUAACAUAGUACUGAUUCCUACCACAAGACAAGAUCAAGCAUUGGCAUUAUUUAAUUAAGUAAGAAAGUAACUCUCACUAUAAUCUUAAAAUCCAGACAAUGCCCAAACAAUUUCGACACAUAGAUAAAGCCCAUGAAAGCCAAAAUCUCAAAUGAAUUCACAUUGUACUGUAACAUUUCCAUCUAUCAAGUAAUGUUGGUUACCCGUAUACUUCCCAUUACUAUUACCCCAAUAAACAUUUAAGAGAGAGCAGAGAGGGACUUUUAAGAUUAAAAUGACAUAAGCACAGUCUUACUCCAACACAAAGGUAACUAAGUCAUACUACUGUUAUCAAGAUUUUAAAAGUUUCAAAUUUUGUAUGCCUGCCCACAACACAUACCAUUUCCUUAGCUUUCUCAAUAACCAAACACUAUCAUAAACUAACCCUAAGUGAGAUUCCAAUCUGAGGAGCAGCGAGUCCAACACCAGGAGCCAUCCUCAUAGCCUUAACCAUAUCAUCAAUUAUCGUCUGUAUCCUUUCUGACCCAAUUUCCUCCGGGGCAACUUCUCGAGCCGGUUCAUGCAAAACCGGGUCACCCGCUUUAACAAUAUCCGGCAAGCUCGUUUUCUUCUUCUCUCCAAGACCCAGAAACCAACCCGCUUUGGCAUUUGAAGAGGAAGAGAAAGAUUUCCGGGCAGUGAAGUGGGGGUUCGAGGUUAUAAAUUCGGGUACGGAUAUGGGCAUUCGAUCAAAACGAGAUAUCGGAGACAGAGUGGUGAGCCUGAGGCAUGAUUUCAUUUCUAUUGGAUUUGCAUCGAGGCAUUUUACGGCGAGGGAAA